RNAcentral lists this ribosomal RNA (460 nucleotides) under uncultured bacterium. Its description in RNAcentral is "partial 16S ribosomal RNA". It matches the Rfam family "Bacterial small subunit ribosomal RNA", at positions 338 to 795 of the family's 1533-position model. The record is from RNAcentral.
CCUACGGGUGACAGCAGUGAGGAAUAUUGGUCAAUGGGCGCGAGCCUGAACCAGCCAAGUAGCGUGAAGGAUGACUGCCCUACGGGUUGUAAACUUCUUUUAUAAGGGAAUAAAGUGAGGCACGUGUGCCUUUUUGUAUGUACUUUAUGAAUAAGGAUCGGCUAACUCCGUGCCAGCAGCCGCCGUAAUACGGGGGAUCCGAGCGUUAUCCGGAUUUAUUGGGGUUAAAGGGAGCGUAGGUGGGUUGUUAAGUCAGUUGUGAAAGUUUGCGGCUCAACCGUAAAAUUGCAAUUGAAACUGGCAGCCUUGAGUACAGUUGAGGAAGGCGGAAUGCGUGGUGUAGCGGUGAAAUGCUUAGAUAUCACGAAGAACCCCGAUUGCGAAGGCAGCCUACUAACCUGCUACUGACACUGAUGCUCGAAAGUGUGGGUAUCAAACAGGAUUAGAUACCCUAGUAGUC